Limanda limanda (common dab) is the source of this 555-nucleotide long non-coding RNA. RefSeq lists it as uncharacterized. The transcript is spliced from 2 exons. Lineage: Eukaryota; Metazoa; Chordata; Actinopteri; Pleuronectiformes; Pleuronectidae. The record is from RefSeq and is a predicted model, not a curated record.
AUGCAGACUGUCAGAGAUCAGCUGUUCUUCUCUGGCUUCAGCUCUGAGGUCAAACCCCUCUCAUCUGAGAGAACUGGAUCUUAUAGGAAACAACCUGAAGGACUCAGCAGUGAAGGAGCUGCUUGAUCUACAGCAGAGUUCAACCUGUCGACUGGAGACUCUGAGGUGGAAGUACUGAAUGGAGCUGAGUGUGAAGAGGACAGUGUGUGUGGACGGAGGCUGAGCUGUGUCCUGAGGAUCCAGAGGCUGAAGCAGCAGCAGCUUGUGUGUAGUCUCCAAUCUACACAACCCCUAAUCUGCAGAACAUGCAGACUCCACACAGGAAGACCCAUCUGAACCGGAUUCAAACCUGUCGAGAAGGCUGUGAUACAUGAUUUGUGAUUUUGUGAUACGUGAUGUUGUGAUAUAUGAUGUUGUGAUAUAUGAUGAUGGCUUUACUGGUGCCAUAUGCUUGGCCCUAUUGUAAUUUGAAGGAUUUGUAUUUCCGCUUUUGGGGAUUUUUCAGGGCCUCGUUUUAAUUAUUUCUAUAAAUGAUACAUUGUGAAUUUAACCAAC